AUUGAACGCUGGCGGCAUGCCUUACACAUGCAAGUCGAACGGCAGCACGGGUGCUUGCCCCUGGUGGCGAGUGGCGAACGGGUGAGUAAUACAUCGGCACAUGUCCUGUAGUGGGGGAUAGCCCGGCGAAAGCCGGAUUAAUACCGCAUACGAUCUACGGAUGAAAGCGGGGGACCUUCGGGCCUCGCGCUUUCGGGUUGGCCGAUGGCUGAUUAGCUAGUUGGCGGGGUAAAGGCCUACCAAGGCGACGAUCAGUAGCUGGUCUGAGAGGACGACCAGCCACACUGGAACUGAGACACGGCCCAGACUCCUACGGGAGGCAGCAGUGGGGAAUUUUGGACAAUGGGCGAAAGCCUGAUCCAGCAAUGCCGCGUGUGUGAAGAAGGCCUUCGGGUUGUAAAGCACUUUUGUCCGGAAAGAAAUCCUUGGCUCUAAUACAGUCGGGGGAUGACGGUACCGGAAGAAUAAGCACCGGCUAACUACGUG
Molecule: ribosomal RNA, 486 nt
Filed under: uncultured bacterium
Lineage: Bacteria
Description: partial 16S ribosomal RNA
Rfam family: Bacterial small subunit ribosomal RNA
Source: RNAcentral